UAGUCCACGCCGUAAACGAUGUCUACUUGGAGGUUGGAGUCUUGAAUUCUGGCUUUCGGAGCUAACGCGUUAAGUAGACCGCCUGGGGAGUACGGUCGCAAGAUUAAAACUCAAAUGAAUUGACGGGGCCCGCACAAGCGGUGGAGCAUGUGGUUUAAUUCGAUGCAACGCGAAGAACCUUACCUACUCUUGACAUCUACAGAAGCCAGCGGAGACGCAGGUGUGCCUUCGGGAACUGUAAGACAGGUGCUGCAUGGCUGUCGUCAGCUCGUGUUGUGAAAUGUUGGGUUAAGUCCCGCAACGAGCGCAACCCUUAUCCUUGUUUGCCAGCACAUAAUGGUGGGAACUCCAGGGAGACUGCCGGUGAUAAACCGGGAGGAAGGGUGGGGACGACGUCAAGUCGAUCAUGGCCCUUACGAGUAGGGGCUACACACGUGCUACAAUGGCGCAUACA
This 454-nucleotide ribosomal RNA is filed under the name uncultured bacterium. Its description in RNAcentral is "bacterial SSU rRNA". It matches the Rfam family "Bacterial small subunit ribosomal RNA", at positions 791 to 1241 of the family's 1533-position model. The record is from RNAcentral.